RNAcentral lists this transfer RNA (72 nucleotides) under Bos indicus (zebu cattle). It matches the Rfam family "tRNA". From Rfam's summary of the family: Transfer RNA (tRNA) molecules are approximately 80 nucleotides in length. Their secondary structure includes four short double-helical elements and three loops (D, anti-codon, and T loops). The record is from Rfam by way of RNAcentral. Lineage: Eukaryota; Metazoa; Chordata; Mammalia; Artiodactyla; Bovidae. RNAcentral also lists the same sequence under 4 other names.
UCCCAGGUGGCUCAGAUGGUAAAGCAUCUGCCCCCAAUGCAGGAGACCCGGGUUCGAUCCCUGGGUUGGGAA